AGAAAAAAAAAAAAAAAAAACAACAGCAACAAGAACAUUUUCUAUAGUAUUGUUUUCUAGUGCCUUUUCUUAUUCUAGUUUUUCAAUGUGCAUUUAGACUGUUUUCAACGGUGAAAGUGUAUUCAGUACAUUUUAUAUGCAUUUUAGAGAAUUAUAAAGCUUGCCUGCAAACAAAUAAAAUUCUCCAUUUGUCCUCAAACAAAUAAAAUCUUUCAACUGUCACUGGCGUACCUGUGUACUAUCUUGCUAGCACUUUUAUGUUAUAUGAUUUGCACAUUUUGAUUUGAAAGACAUGAUAUUUUCAGCUUGUGUUAACAUGCAAAACAUAAGGAACUCCAUCUUGAGCCAUGUGAGGCUGAGAGGUUUUGCUCAACAGCUGUUGCUUACUCAGAGAAGAAAUGUCUUCAAGCAACUGCAUCAGCAAACGCAUGCAUUAAGCAGUACCAGUCCUCAUCAAAUUAUGGAUCGGGUAAUAGGAUUGGUUAAGAAAUAUGAUAAAAUUGAUGCUGCCAAGGUAAUUAAUGCAUAUUUCUCUUCUAUUUUUAAUUUCUCUGUGUGUGUAUGUCCAUUUUGUGAUGGUUUGAAUUGGCAGACCACCUUUAUUUAGUGUGAAAUUAAAUAUGUCAUAUAGCAAUGCUGAUUAUUUUGCUGUUACAAUUCAUCAAACAAGUUUCAGCUAACGAAUCAAGCUUUCCUUAAUUUCCUAUGGAUUGAAGAUUAUUGAAAGAAUUAAUAUUGGUUUUACUUGACCACUAAACAGGUUACUGAAACAGCUGAUUUCCAGAAAGAUUUGUCCCUGGACAGCUUAGAUAGGGUGGAGCUUGUUAUGGCUUUUGAGGAAGAAUUUUCCAUUGAAAUCCCUGAUGAGGAAGCAGAUAAGCUUACUUGCUGUGCUGAUGUUGCAAAAUAUAUAGCUUAUGGAGCUGAAAAGAAGAUUUCUGGCUCCUGAAUUGAUUUUAGAAUACACAAAGGGCACUCUUUAUGAUACAUUAUGUAGCUUGUUGAUUUAUUCUUAGAUGUCGGCUAGUUUUGGUAUUAACUUCAUCACUCCUCGUUCUGACCAUAUAUAAUGGUUGUCAGAUCCAUGAUCACUCCUAUUGUUUUUCUUAGUGAUACUGUGCUAGUGUCAUUGGUCAUAAAGCAAGACUGGAAAUUUUCUUUUAUACAUCAAUGUCCGUGUUGUUGUCAUUAUUUACAAGUAGGCUUUAUGCAUC
Molecule: unclassified non-coding RNA, 1214 nt
Filed under: Hevea brasiliensis (rubber tree)
Lineage: Eukaryota; Viridiplantae; Streptophyta; Magnoliopsida; Malpighiales; Euphorbiaceae
Source: RNAcentral